Molecule: ribosomal RNA, 262 nt
Filed under: uncultured bacterium
Lineage: Bacteria
Description: partial 16S ribosomal RNA
Rfam family: Bacterial small subunit ribosomal RNA
Source: RNAcentral
GUCCACCCCGUAAACGUUGGGAACUAGUUGUGGGGUCCAUUCCACGGAUUCCGUGACGCAGCUAACGCAUUAAGUUCCCCGCCUGGGGAGUACGGCCGCAAGGCUAAAACUCAAAGGAAUUGACGGGGACCCGCACAAGCGGCGGAGCAUGCGGAUUAAUUCGAUGCAACGCGAAGAACCUUACCAAGGCUUGACAUAUAGAGGAAACGGCAAGAAAUUGUCGCCCCGCAAGGUCUCUAUACAGGUGGUGCAUGGUUGUCGU